AAGCUUAUCGUGUUCACACACACACACGCACACCAGCACCACAGACCCUUAGUGUGUUUUUCUAACGAACCAAACCCGUGUUCUCCUUAGCGUGUUCUUAGCAUGUGCAUGCCAGACUGUACCAUGUACGUGUAGUGUCUGGGGGGUGUUUCUGAGACACCCCUCUCUGCCCUGUCCUUCCGUAGGACCCAAAACACCCCCCUUCCUCGCAGCCCUAAUGGUCCGGUCUGGUCUAGGUAGAAUCAUCUCCUCCCCUCUGCGUUCCGGCCGGGUGGUACAGCCCAACACCCCUGGCUCUAAAGGUGGGCGUGGCCGGGUGGUACAGCCCAACACCCCUGGCUCUAAAGGUGGGCGUGGCCACAGGUAGGGUGUCUGUCACCUGUCACCUGGCUGUCUGUCUGUCAUCACCCACGGAGACCAUCUGGAACGGCUCGAGAACCCCCCCGUCACCCUCCCCAUCCGCCUCCCCGUCACCUAAACCCUGUCAACCCAUCCACAUCAUCACUACAUUCUACAGCUCAGGACCACAUUCUACAGGACCACAUUCUACAGCUCAGUGUAUAUAGGACACCCAUCUACAGUGGCCAUCUGACAUAGAUUCUGUCUCCGUGUUAUGUGGUUGCUGUGGGUCUUGUCUCCGUGUUAUGUGGUUGCUAUGGGUCUUGUCUCUGCGUUAUGUGGUUGCUGUGGGUCUUGUCUCUGCGUUAUGUGGUUGCUAUGGGUCUUGUCUCUGUGUUAUGUGGUUGCUGUGGGUCUGGUCUCUGUGUUAUGUGGUUGUUGUGGGUCUCUGUGUUAUGUGGUUGCUAUGGGUCUUGUCUCUGUGUUAUGUGGUUGCUAUGGGUGUUGUCUCUGUAUUAUGUGGUUGCUAUGGGUCUUGUCUCUGUGUUAUGUGGUUGCUGUGGGUCUCUGUGUUAUGUGGUUGCUGUGAUUCUUGUCUCUGUGUUAUGUGGUUGCUAUGGGUCUUGUCUCUGUCUUAUGUGGUUGCUGUGGGUCUUGUCUCUGUGUUAUGUGGUUGCUGUGGGUCUCUGUGUUAUGUGGUUGCUGUGGGUCUGUGUUAUGUGGUUGCUAUGGGUCUUGUCUCUGUGUUAUGUGGUUGCUGUGGGUCUUGUCUCUGUGUUAUGUGGUUGCUAUGAGUCUUGUCUCUGUGUUAUGUGGUUGCUGUGGGUCUUGUCUCUGUGUUAUGUGGUUGCUGUGGGUCACGUCUCUGUGUUAUGUGGUUGCUGUGGGUCUGGUCUCUGUGUUAUGUGGUUGUUGUGGGUCUCUGUGUUAUGUGGUUAUAAUGGGUCUGGUCUCUGUGUUAUGUGGUUGCUGUGGGUCUUGUCUCUGUGUUAUGUGGUUGCUAUUGGUCUUGUCUCUGUGUUAUGUGGUUGCUGUGGGUCUUGUCUCUGUGUUAUGUGGUUGCUGUGGGUCUUGUCUCUGUGUUAUGUGGUUGCUGUGGGUCUUGUCUCUGUGUUAUGUGGUUGCUGUGGGUCUUGUCUCUGUGUUAUGUGGUUGCUGUGGGUCUUGUCUCUGUGUUAUGUGGUUGCUGUGGGUCUUGUUUCUGUGUUAUGUGGUUGCUAUGGGUCUUGUCUCUGUGUUAUGUGGUUGCUGUGGGUCACGUCUCUGUGUUAUGUGGUUGCUGUGGGUCUUGUCUCUGUGUUAUGUGGUUGCUGUGGGUCACGUCUCUGUCUUAUGUGGUUGCUGUGGGUCUUGUCUCUGUGUUAUGUGGUUGUUGUGGGUCUCUGUGUUAUGUGGUUGCUAUGGGUCUUGUCUCUGUGUUAUGUGGUUGCUAUGGGUCUUGUCUCUGUGUUAUGUGGUUGUUGUGGGUCUUUGUGUUAUGUGGUUGCUAUGGGUCUUGUCUCUGUGUUAUGUGGUUGCUGUGGGUCUCUGUGUUAUGUGGUUGCUGUGGGUCUGGUCUCUGUGGUAUGUGGUUGCUAUGGGUCUUGUCUCUGUGUUAUGUGGUUGUUGUGGGUCUUUGUGUUAUGUGGUUGCUAUGGGUCUUGUCUCUGUGUUAUGUGGUUGCUGUGGGUCUCUGUGUUAUGUGGUUGCUGUGGGUCUGGUCUCUGUGGUAUGUGGUUGUUGUGGGUCUUUGUGUUAUGUGGUUGCUGUGGGUCUUGUCUCUGUGUGGAUGUUGACGCAUGUCCAUGUUCUCACUCACUUCGCUCAAAUCGCAUGUAUCAGGGUUAUCUGAUUCUUCUAGUACGCUUGUUAAAUCUGAUUCAGCUGAUUCCUCAGGUUUAUCUGAUUCUUCUAGUCUGUUUGUUACACCUGAUUCACCUGAUUUACCUGAUUCAGCUUAUUCCUGGUCUGUGUUUUGGUGAGCCACAGCUCUCCUACUCUACUCCUACUUUAUGACACUAACCCUCUCCUCUUCUCUCUAGAUAUCAACGCCCAGGCUAGGAAGCUACAGAGGAACAGAACUAAAGGAACUCUGACACUACCUCGACCUGGGACCACCUUCUGCCGCUCCCUCAGUGAGACCAGUCUCAACCAGGUACACUACUAUUAGAACUGCUUCUACUAUUAUAUCUAAUACUACUAUUACUACUAUUAUAACUA
Oncorhynchus mykiss (rainbow trout) is the source of this 2538-nucleotide long non-coding RNA. The record is from Ensembl. Lineage: Eukaryota; Metazoa; Chordata; Actinopteri; Salmoniformes; Salmonidae.